AACGAACGCUGGCGGCAGGCCUAACACAUGCAAGUCGAACGAGAAGCCAGAGCUUGCUCUGGUGGAAAGUGGCAGACGGGUGAGUAACGCGUGGGAACCUACCCAGGGGUUCGGAAUAACUCAGGGAAACUUGAGCUAAUACCGGAUACGCCUUGCGAGGGAAAGAUUUAUCGCCCUUGGACGGGCCCGCGUCGGAUUAGUUUGUUGGUGGGUAAAGGCCCACCAAGGCUACGAUCCGUAGCUGGUCUGAGAGGAUGAUCAGCCACACUGGGACUGAGACACGGCCCAGACUCCUACGGGAGGCAGCAGUGGGGAAUCUUGCACAAUGGGCGCAAGCCUGAUGCAGCCAUGCCGCGUGAGUGAAGAAGGCCUUAGGGUUGUAAAACUCUUUCAGCGGGGAAGAUAAUGACGGUACCCGCAGAAGAAGCCCCGGCUAACUCCGUG
This 444-nucleotide ribosomal RNA is filed under the name uncultured bacterium. Its description in RNAcentral is "bacterial SSU rRNA". It matches the Rfam family "Bacterial small subunit ribosomal RNA", at positions 29 to 507 of the family's 1533-position model. The record is from RNAcentral.